Non-coding RNA from Pelodiscus sinensis (Chinese soft-shelled turtle), 1135 nucleotides. Lineage: Eukaryota; Metazoa; Chordata; Testudines; Trionychidae. The record is from RefSeq and is a predicted model, not a curated record.
UAGAAGUUCAGAGUUAUGGGCCUUUGGCCCUCUCUAUGUUACAGUACUUCAAUAACGUCUGCUAAAAUCAAAGUGAAUGGAGUGCACCUGCAUUAUCAGCAGACAGGACAAGGAGAUCAUGCAGUUCUGCUGCUUCCUGGAAUGUUAGGGAGCAGUCAAAGUGAUUUUGGACCACAGCUCAAAUCUAUGAACAAGCAGCUGUUCACAAUAGUAGCCUGGGAUCCUCGAGGCUAUGGACAUUCUAUCCCUCCAGUUCGAGACUUUCCGCCUGAUUUUUUUGAAAGGGAUGCAAGAGAUGCUGUUGAUCUGAUGCAGGCACUGAAGUUUAAGAAGUUCUCUUUGCUGGGAUGGAGUGACGGUGGGAUUACAGCACUCAUAGCAGCUGCGAAACAUCCAGCCCUUAUCUACAAGUUAGUUGUUUGGGGAGCAAAUGCUGUUGUUACUCAGGAGGAUCUGAAGCUUUACAAUGGUGGAGCAAGCUACGAGAUUUCUGAACCUGGCAAACAACUAUCCGAGAUGUUUCAAAAUGGAGUGAAAAGGUCAGGAAACCAAUGGAAGAAAUGUAUGGACAUGAAUACUUUGCAAAAACAUGUGAGGCCUGGGUGGAUGGAAUAUCUCAGUUUGCUGACAAGGCAGAUGGUAACAUUUGUCAACAUUUACUGCCUCAUAUAAAGUGUCCAACAUUUAUAAUACAUGGUGGGAAAGACCCUUUGGUACCACAGUUGCAUGCAGAAUAUCUUCACAAACACAUCAAAGAGUCCCGGUUGUUUCUGAUGCCAGAAGGAAAGCACAAUCUACAUUUACGAUUUGCAGAAGAGUUCAACAAAGUAGUAGAAAAUUUCCUACGACAGACUUAGUUUGUUAAACUCAAUUAUGUACUAAACAGUCUAUGUAUGAUUAUUUUAGUGUAUUUAAAUUAUAUUCCCCGUCCAGGCCGUAUUCCUGUUAUGAUACUGAUUUUAUUUAGUUUGAUUCUCCAUUAUUAGAAAAUGUAAAAGGACAUCUCAUUUAUGCUAGUUAGAGGUAAAUUAAGAUACCUACUGUGUCUUGCUUGAUAAUUGAGACGCUCCUGGCAGAGCUGAAUUUGUCUAACAAGAGUAAUAGUGAAGUAGCAUUAAAUCUGUGCUUUACUUGA